CGAUAAGCGUCGGGGAGGUGCGAAUACCCUUUGAUCCGACGAUUUCCGAAUGGGGCAACCCACCUUAGAUGACUAGAAAAUCUGUUUUGUUGGAGCAACGCUGGAUGGGUUUACACCCAUACAGACCGCUAGGUCGUCGGCCCAUGUGGGCCGCCCCCCGCGGAGCGCCAGCAUUCCUCUGGAAUGCGUACGGCGCGUGAGCGAGAACAGCACAGCUUUCUAGUCAUCAUAAAUAAGGUAUCUAACCUUGAAUACAUAGGGGUUAGAAGCGAACCUGGGGAACUGAAACAUCUAAGUACCCAGAGGAAAGGACAUCAAACGAGACUCCGCUAGUAGUGGCGAGCGAACGCGGACCAGGCCAGUGGCUUUUGUGAAUAAAGUGGAACGAGUUGGAAAACUCGACCGAAGUGGGUGAUAGUCCCGUACACGUAGAAUAGCAGAAGUCCUUGAGUAGGGCGGGACACGUGAAAUCCUGUCUGAACAUGGGUCGACCACGAUCCAAGCCUAAGUACUCGUGCAUGACCGAUAGCGAACCAGUACCGUGAGGGAAAGGUGAAAAGCACCCCGACGAGGGGAGUGAAACAGUACCUGAAACCGGAUGCCUACAAACAGUUGGAGCCCAAGGUUUGUCCUGGGUGACAGCGUACCUUUUGUAUAAUGGGUCAGCGACUUAGUGUAUCGAGCAAGCUUAAGCCGGUAGGUGUAGGCGCAGCGAAAGCGAGUCUGAACAGGGCGUUCAGUUCGAUGCAUUAGACCCGAAACCAAGUGAUCUAGCCAUGAGCAGGUUGAAGGUACGGUAACACGUACUGGAGGACCGAACCCAUAUCUGUUGCAAUAGAUCGGGAUGACUUGUGGCUAGGGGUGAAAGGCCAAUCAAACUUGGAGAUAGCUGGUUCUCCGCGAAAUCUAUUUAGGUAGAGCGUCGACCGAAUACCCCCGGGGGUAGAGCACUGGAUGGGCUAUGGGGACUCACCGUCUUACUGAUCCUAACCAAACUCCGAAUACCGGGGAGUACUAGUCGGCAGACACACGGCGGGUGCUAACGUCCGUCGUGGAGAGGGCAACAACCCUGACCACCAUCUAAGGUCCCUAAGUUAUGGCUAAGUGGGAAAGGAUGUGAGGAUCCCAAAACAACCAGGAUGUUGGCUUAGAAGCAGCCAUCAUUUAAAGAAAGCGUAACAGCUCACUGGUCUAAAUAAGGGUCUUUGCGCCGAAAAUGUACCGGGGCUCAAGCCAUACACCGAAGCUGUGGAUGCACGUAUGUGCGUGGUAGCGGAGCGUUCCGUAAGCCUGUGAAGGGACAGUCGUGAGACAUCCUGGAGGUAUCGGAAGUGAGAAUGCUGACAUGAGUAACGAUAAAGGGAGUGAGAGACUCCCUCGCCGAAAGUCCAAGGGUUCCUGCUUAAAGUUAAUCUGAGCAGGGUUAGCCGGCCCCUAAGGCGAGGCCGAAAGGCGUAGUCGAUGGGAACCACGUUAAUAUUCGUGGGCCUGCAGGUAGUGACGGAUCGCGUGUGUUGUGAGGUCUUAUUGGAUUGAUCUUGCAGCGAAGCGGUUCCAGGAAAUAGCUCCUGCAUAUAGACCGUACCCUAAACCGACACUGGUGGACUGGUA
This 1611-nucleotide ribosomal RNA is filed under the name Brucella melitensis. RNAcentral describes it as "bacterial LSU rRNA". It matches the Rfam family "Bacterial large subunit ribosomal RNA", at positions 69 to 1673 of the family's 2925-position model. Lineage: Bacteria; Pseudomonadati; Pseudomonadota; Alphaproteobacteria; Hyphomicrobiales; Brucellaceae. The record is from RNAcentral.